UGGGGAAUAUUGCACAAUGGGCGCAAGCCUGAUGCAGCCAUGCCGCGUGUAUGAAGAAGGCCUUCGGGUUGUAAAGUACUUUCAGCGGGGAGGAAGGGAGUAAAGUUAAUACCUUUGCUCAUUGACGUUACCCGCAGAAGAAGCACCGGCUAACUCCGUGCCAGCAGUCGCGGUAAUACGGAGGGUGCAAGCGUUAAUCGGAAUUACUGGGCGUAAAGCGCACGCAGGCGGUUUGUUAAGUCAGAUGUGAAAUCCCCGGGCUCAACCUGGGGACUGCAUCUGAUACUGGCAAGCUUGAGUCUCGUAGAGGGGGGUAGAAUUCCAGGUGUAGCGGUGAAAUGCGUAGAGAUCUGGAGGGAUACCGGUGGCGAAGGCGGCCCCCUGGACGAAGACUGACGCUCAGGUGCGAAAGCGUGGGGAGCAAACAGG
RNAcentral lists this ribosomal RNA (429 nucleotides) under Chloroflexota bacterium. RNAcentral's name for it is "Chloroflexi bacterium partial 16S ribosomal RNA". It matches the Rfam family "Bacterial small subunit ribosomal RNA", at positions 355 to 776 of the family's 1533-position model. Lineage: Bacteria; Bacillati; Chloroflexota. The record is from RNAcentral.